CACGUAGGGGGCGAGCGUUGUCCGGAUUUAUUGGGCGUAAAGAGCUCGUAGGCGGCUCGGUAAGUCAACUGUGAAAGCUCCGGGCUCAACUCGGAGAGGCCAGUUGAUACUGCCGUGGCUAGAGUCCGGUAGGGGAGCGUGGAAUUCCUGGUGUAGCGGUGAAAUGCGCAGAUAUCAGGAGGAACACCAGCGGCGAAGGCGGCGCUCUGGGCCGGAACUGACGCUGAGGAGCGAAAGCGUGGGUAGCAAACAGG
RNAcentral lists this ribosomal RNA (254 nucleotides) under uncultured bacterium. RNAcentral describes it as "partial 16S ribosomal RNA". It matches the Rfam family "Bacterial small subunit ribosomal RNA", at positions 524 to 776 of the family's 1533-position model. The record is from RNAcentral.